UACGUAGGGGGCGAGCGUUGUCCGGAGUACUGGGCGUAAAGCGCACGCAGGCGGUCUGUUAAGUUUGGAGUGACAGUUGGUGGCUUAACUGCCAAAGUGCUUCGAAAACUGACAGACUUGAGGGCUUCAGAGGGACACGGAAUUCCGGGUGGGGUGGUGAAAUGCGUAGAGAUCCGGAGGAACACCAAAGGCGAAGGCAAGUGUCCUGGGGAGUACCGUGAC
Molecule: ribosomal RNA, 222 nt
Filed under: uncultured bacterium
Lineage: Bacteria
Description: partial 16S ribosomal RNA
Rfam family: Bacterial small subunit ribosomal RNA
Source: RNAcentral